RNA transcript from Xenopus laevis (African clawed frog), 2947 nucleotides. It is a transcript of the gene named formimidoyltransferase cyclodeaminase L homeolog, with no coding region annotated. The transcript is spliced from 17 exons. NCBI's taxonomy places the organism in Eukaryota, Metazoa, Chordata, Amphibia, Anura, Pipidae. The record is from RefSeq and is marked provisional.
CCCCCAUCUCUUCCAAACUCCAACCCCCCAGCUCACUCACUCACUCAUCCUUUAAAUACUUCUUAGUAUACAAAUGCCCCUGUACUUGCUUAGCACAUAGACUUCUUCCUAUUCCAACCCCCAUGUACUCUGAAUUGUAUGCACAGCUCUCACACUUCCCAAGCAAUGCACCAAUCAGCAAUUCUAUCCUUCCAGACGCCACAACCUGUGUCAGCAGACAACUAAUUGGUUAAUUUGUAAGCCCUGUUUUGGGUUUUUAAAGUCUGACUUGAUCAGCAGGUGCUGAUUGUGAUAGAGACUGUAAAAACUGCUCAGCCAAUAUGUCCAAGCUUGUAGAGUGCGUCCCGAAUUUCUCAGAGGGGAAGAACAAAGAGGUUAUAGAUGCUCUGGCUGCAGCAAUUACCCAAACAGGAGGCUGCCGCCUGCUGGAUGUGGAUCCUGGAGCUUCCACUAACCGCACUGUAUUCACCUUUGUUGGCUCUCCUGAUGCUGUGGUAGAUGGGGCUCUGAAUGCAGCACGUGUGGCUUUUCAAAUGAUUGAUAUGCGCAACCACAAAGGUGAGCACCCACGUAUGGGAGCACUGGAUGUGUGUCCCUUUAUCCCUGUCAGAAAUGUCACAAUGGAAGAGUGUGUGGCCUGUGCCAACCAGUUUGCUAAGCGACUGGCAAAGGAGCUACAAGUUCCAGUGUAUCUGUAUGGUGAAGCUGCUCGCAGUGAAAGCCGCAGAUCCCUGCCAGCUGUACGGGCUGGAGAAUAUGAAGCUUUGCCCACUAAGCUGAAGAACCCAGAAUGGGCUCCUGACUUUGGUGAGCCAGUCUUUGUCCCUAGCUGGGGUGCAACUGUGAGUGGAGCUCGCAAGUUCCUAAUUGCUUACAACAUCAAUUUAUUGAGCACCAAAGAGUUGGCUCAUCGCAUUGCUCUUAAUAUUCGUGAGGGUGGCCGUGGAAAGGAUCAGCCAGGGCGUCUUCAGAAGAUCCAGGCAAUUGGAUGGUUCCUUCAGGAAGAAAAUUUGGCACAAGUCUCAACAAAUCUACUUGAUUUUGAAAUAACCCCUCUGCAUGUAGUAUAUGAAGAGGUGUGCAAGGAUGCCAAGGAACUGACCCUCCCUGUAAUAGGUUCCCAGUUGGUGGGUUUGGUGCCCCUCCAGUCUCUGCUAGAUUCUGCAGAGUUUUAUAUCCAGAAAGAGAAGCUGUUUGUACUUGAGGAGGAGCACAAAAUCAGACUGGUAAUUAACCGUCUUGGUCUGGACUCUUUGGCGCCAUUUGAUCCUCGACAAAGAAUUAUCGAGUACCUUGUCCAGGAUGAUCUUUCGGAGGCAUCAUUAGUCACCCAGUCACUGCGGGGGUUUGUGCAAAGUGUGGGUGCACGUAGUGCUACCCCUGGUGGUGGCUCUGUUGCUGCAGCUGUGUCUGCAUUGGGGGCAGCACUGGGCUGCAUGGUGGGCCAUAUGACCUAUGGGAAACGUCAAUUUGAGUCUUUGGAUGGGGUGAUGCGGGAAUUGAUUCCACCAUUUCAUCAUGCAGCUGAAAAGUUGCUCACUAUGGUUGAUGCAGAUUCCAAUGCAUUUGGAAGUUACAUGGCUGCAUUGAAGCUUCCCAAAAACACAGCUGAAGAGCAAGAGAAGCGUUCUGCUGCCCUACAGGAGGGCCUAAAGGAAGCUGUUAAAGUGCCACUAACUCUGGCAGAGCACAUCAAUACCUUGUGGCACCCUCUGCUGGAAAUGUCAAAACAUGGAAACAUUGCAUGCAAAUCUGAUUUGCAGGUAGCCGCCAAAGCAUUAGAAACUGGAGUAUUUGGGGCUUACUUUAAUGUCCUAAUCAAUCUGCGGGAGAUAAAGGAUAUUGAAUUCAAAAGUCAGACUGAAGAGAAAGUUUCCAGGCUGUUGGAUGAGGCAAAAACAAGUGCGCUGUCUGUGCUCCAAGUGUGUGAUGGAAGAAACUGAAUGUGCCACAAGGAUAACAUAAUGAUAUUGCUCUAACAAUUUGUCACUGUCGUUUGCUUCUUGAUUCUGGUGAAUUUGCCUUGAAACAAAUCUGCCUUCUGGUUAACUGUUGCUUUGUGUUUCUUCUUGCUAUUUAAUAUGACAUGCAACUAUGUCAAUUUCUAGGCUCUCUUUGUGUAUGUAAUUUCUCAGACAGGGUGAGGUUAGCUGAAGUAUAUUUGCAUGUGUGACUUGGAUCACAGGGCUCCCACCUGCCUCUAACCCCUCCCCUAGGUACCUUCCAAACUCCUCCCUUUUCCUAUAAGUGGAAUUGACUUCUCUGUGAGGCACAGUCAGCUGAUCUGAACGCCUGGGCUGCAGUGACUGUAGUGUGUGAUUCUCCGUCAUGUGGAACCCAAAUCAAGGAACCCCCUAUUGGCAGCCUCCACCACCAGGUGGCUGUGCUCCUCCUCCGGGAUGCUAUGCUCCCCCUUCAGGGCCCUACCCUCCUGGCUGCCAAGUAUACCCUGCAUACCCAGGUCCUGCAGUUGGCUAUCCAGGUGGGUGCCCUCCUCCUCACCAUCCUCCAGGUCAUGGACCUCAUGGACAUCACGGGCAUCACGGACAUCAUGGGCAUCAUGGACAUCACGGGCAUCAUGGACAUCACGGGCAUCAUGGACAUCAUGGGCACCAUGGACACCAUGGGCAUUAAUUGUGUGGGUUGCAGGUACUUCCUCCAUUAUCAUGGCAGUGGCUCCAGCUCUGACUCCGACUGAUGGGUGAUUGAAGACUGAAGAUAGAUUCAAAUGUCAAUUUCUCCUCAUUAUAUGGCAAGCCAUUGUAUAAAUCCACACUCUCCUGUUGCAAUGCAUAUAUAUCAAUUUUAGAACAUUCCCUGCAUAGCCUUACCUACUAUAUACUGCUAUAAACUAAAUAAUUUCCUUGAUACUGACCUGGUGAUUCCUUAUUGCAUUUGAAUUACACAAAAAGCCUGUAUGGCCAGCAAUAAAGAGACAUUUAAACUA